ACAUGCUCUUUCGGUUCUUCUUGAAAA
Molecule: small RNA, 27 nt
Filed under: Bombyx mori (domestic silkworm)
Lineage: Eukaryota; Metazoa; Arthropoda; Insecta; Lepidoptera; Bombycidae
Description: ovarian small RNA-11173
Source: RNAcentral